UCCCUGGUGGUCCAGUGGUUAAGACUCCGUACUUCCACUGCAGAGGGCCCAGGUUCAAACCUUGGUUGGGGAA
Non-coding RNA from Cervus elaphus (red deer), 73 nucleotides. Lineage: Eukaryota; Metazoa; Chordata; Mammalia; Artiodactyla; Cervidae. The record is from the annotation of a RefSeq genome assembly.